GAUGAACGCUGGCGGCGUGCUUAACACAUGCAAGUCGAACGAAGCACUUUUAUUUGAUUUCUUCGGAAUGAAGAUUUUAGUGACUGAGUGGCGGACGGGUGAGUAACGCGUGGGUAACCUGCCUCAUACAGGGGGAUAACAGCCGGAAACGGCUGCUAAUACCGCAUAAUGCAUCGGAUUCGCAUGUUUCUGAUGCCAAAGAUUUUAUCGCUGAAAGAUGAGCUCGCGUCUGAUUAGCUAGUUGGCGGGGUAACGGCCCACCAAGGCGACGAUCAGUAGCCGGACUGAGAGGUUGAACGGCCACAUUGGGACUGAGACACGGCCCAG
This 327-nucleotide ribosomal RNA is filed under the name uncultured bacterium. RNAcentral describes it as "bacterial SSU rRNA". It matches the Rfam family "Bacterial small subunit ribosomal RNA", at positions 28 to 334 of the family's 1533-position model. The record is from RNAcentral.